GCUGUGAGAGAUUUUAUGUAGCAAAGAAUGCGGUUGACGAGGGCAAGGUGUGGCUCCCAAGGGUUGUGCAUGAAAAGGCACGCUUGCUGGCCCAUAUAGGCUAGGUCGGGGCAGGUGAAAGUAAGGUACUGUAGCACCCCAGCGAGGCUACGGUACUCGGAUGGGUCAGCGGCUAGGGCACGAUUUGUAGCUGAGAGCUUGGACUUGGAGUCCAUAGGCGUCAUGAUGGGAUGGCACUAGGACAUGCCAGCAUAUUGGAGAAGCUCAAAAACAUACUAGCAUUGCGGGAGAAACAAUUAGUUAGAGGAGUGAGUGACAGAGAUGCCGAGGAAGUGGUGAAGUGCCCUGAGAUCAGUCAUCAUGAACUCCAAGCUAAGGCGCACAAUGAUGUGACAUAGGAUGUCCGAAUAGGAGGCUGUUAGGAUGAUGUCAUCAAUGUAGAGCAGCAAGUAGGUGACACUGUCUCGAUCUUUAUAAAUAAAGAGAGAUGCGUCACUAGCAGCGGGUGUGAUGACCAUAGACUUUGGAUUUUUUAGGUACUGAAAAGGUCUAGAUAAAGUGAGUGAAAUCAUCUAGCAUGACUAGGUAAUAUUUAUAGCUAGAAGUCCCAUCACAAUAAAUAAUUUUGAAAGAUGCCGAAGUGGUGGAUCGGAGGAGAACGAGCAAAAGGGAGACAUGUGUGUUAGCCUAGCUGACAUCUGUUGGGACACAGAUAUCCAGGUCAUGAAGGCAGGCCCCCCAUUUAUCCCUCUUUGCCAAAACAACUAACAGCUAAUCUAGGACAUGUAUUGUUGUGUUCUUUUGGCAGGAAUCUUGCAGGUACCUUUGCUUGUGUCAGGCUGUGCGAGGCACAGAACUUGAAAAGACAUCACCAACGAGGGCUCGGAGCUUGCAAUAGGGUAACACCUAGGUAGACGCAAUGAAGAUCACUGGGGAAGGAAGACAAGCACACUCGGGAGCAAACAAGAGCUGGUGGAGGCAAGCCUUCGUCGUCCAUUGAGGGGCCUCAAGAGGGCGCACGCUUUAGAUCUCCAAUGGGCCUUCAACGGGCUCAAAAUAAGGCCCAUGAAGCAAGACAUUUAGCAGGGAAAACGCCUAAGAUGCCCCUAGAGGCUUGUGUGUAUGGGUAAAUCUCAAAAAUAUGCGUGACCGUUCGUAGGAUAUAAAUGUAAAAGAACUUCACUCUGUACAGUGACCUAUAAAAGGGGAGAGCAAACCCCAUAUAAAAGAUAGACCAAUGAAUCAAUCAAACCAUAAUUGUGCCACAAAACAUGUUGCUUGUAUCGACCUUCACCUAUGCCAGAGACCACUAGUCUGCUGGAGAUAAUUUCCCCGACAACAUGCAUGACACAAAGAGGUAUCCUGCUUAUUGCAGGAGAUGACUGACAUAUUUUGUGUGUGUGGAUAGCAUUUGGAGCAGGAUGGAUGAGGCGACAAUGCCACAAGGCUGUCGACAAUGCCUUAUAGGUCACUGUUGAUGUUGCAAUGAAGGUUCGGUUGCUUAGAGUGGAGAUUUUUAAUGAGAAUCCUAGAGCGUCAAAUUUGACAGAAUAAUGGUUGUCACGGGUAAAUUGAUGAACCGGAAGAAGGUUAUGAAUUAAUGAAGGUGCGACAAGGACAUUAUUCAAGAUGAAAUUCGACUGCGGGUGUGGGUAGAGUAGAAAUGCCUCACAAUGAGACAAGGAGAUUGUUGCCAUUCACCUCGAUGAUGUGAGGAGGAGAUGAAGAAAAACAAGAGAGAAGUAUACCAUCUGUAGUCGACAUAUGGGAUAUCGUGCGUGUGUCAAGGAUCCAAGCGUUCUAAUUGUGAGGCGGCACACCAUGUGACAUGAAGGUGGUAUGAGACUAUGGAGGUGUGAAGGUGGCAAUAGUCUGUGGAGCUAGCACAAGAAUGUUGUGGCUGCACCGGGCCAAGGCCUACAGCUGCUGGCGAGGUAGAGGACCAGAGGUACACAGAGUGGUCGACAUGGUGGGAGACAGGUGCGAUGUGGAGGGGAAAUAGAGGUGCAUGGGAGACAGUGGACAGAUGAGGAGAGCAAAGACUUCUGCACAGCAGGCAGAGUGCUCGAAGAGAGCAGAGGAGAUACGCAUGGAUGAAAGCAUGCAGGAGGGGAUGCACGAGCAGAGCGCACAUGCAAAGCAAAGGAAUGAGAGACGAAAGGAUGUGAGGCAACGAAGCUACUCCAUGGAAAGGAGAGAUGAGAGGGAGGGGAGGCACAACAGCCUAAAGGCCGAUGGCACGGAGAAGAACUAGGCCAGCAGCACAGAGGAGCGAGGGGAGGUGGACGCGCAGACGUGGGUGAGGGUAGAGGCAGGAAGAAAACCUAGGUGGUUGAUACCAUGUGAAAAAGGAAGGGAGAGAACACCUCGCCCCAAUUAGGAAGGGGUGACUUCCAUAUAUAUAGCCACAAGGCCUCAGCACAUUUCUUCUUGUAUGUACAGUUGCGACACCAAUAUAAAAAUUCAGAUGGUUACGAGCAGAUGUAUUUAGGUUCUUGAUGUUUCAAUUUCACCCAUCCAAUGCAGCGGAAUGAGAUGCGUGACUAGUCUACAAAUGUUUAGGAAUGGGAGGCACUAGAGAAAGUUUAGUUCAGAGUUGCACCACAUGCUUCUUAACUUCCUAGCUUGAGAGCAUCAGAGUGUAUGGAGAAGUGUUGUGUUGUGGCAAUGGGAGGCCGCAUAAGGGGAAGUUCUACACAUGCAUGGUUGCACCACAUGUAAGGCUUGAUUGGCCUACUAGUGGCCACAUCACGUAUACUUGUGACAGCAUGCUACCUAGGAAAAAACUUGAUGCAGUAGUACGGUUCCUGGGAAAUACCAUGAGGUGCCAGAAAUUAUAUAAAUCUUAGCUCCAAAAUUCUUGAUGCAGUAGUAUGUUGUCCAACCUCACAUUAGUAUUUCAUGCAUCCGUCAUCAAUCAUCAACCAAACAAGUGUCCUUUUGCACAAAACUGGCACUGAAUCUCAACUGUGUGCUCUACCUGCUUCCUCCCCAAUAUAAUGUACAUAUUCUGAGGGAUAUAUGCCAAACACAUGAGACAUAUGAAUGUCAGUUUAUAUACAAAGGUAAAAUGUCACAUUUCGUCUAGAACAGUUGCCAUAUCAGUCUAGACUACAGAAUGUGGACACUUAUGUCCGGAUUGAUCGAUAUUUUUGCCAUUAUUUGAUAAGUUUAUCCAAUGCAGAAAAAUGAGAUGUCUAAUCAUAGAAUCAUCAAGUAUUUGGGAUCGGGAGGCACCAAGGGAAGUAUUAUAUAUUUGGGUUUCCAAGAGCACCCGAGGCUUGUAAAAGAAGCGGAGUCUUGCAAACUCCGUCCAAGGCCACCAAUGCAACCUCGUCCCUCCUCCCCACCCAUUCACGCAGCAACCAAUGGCCUAGAGAUUGCAGCCCAUAUACCCCAUUGCCCCAGGUAGGCAAUCCAGACUCGUUGAACCAUCAGCUCCUUCAAGAAAGGUGGAGACGCGCGCCCGCGGGGGGUUGGGGGAGAGGAGGACGUGACAGCAGUGCUUUUGGUGGUUCGGGAAAUAACUGGCAUGUGUAUUAAUAAUGGAUGCAAUGAGGGAGAAGAAUACAUAGGUUACUACUACUUUGUGCGCUACCAUGAGUCUGCACAAGCAAGGAAGGCCAUUGCACAGUUUAGCAAUGUUAAUGUUGUGGUUGAGCCAAUUAUUCAGUAAAUUCAUUACUUAUAUUGUUGGAUUUGACAACUAAAAAGGGACAAGAUACAUAUAUGGCAUUGUUGUGCGUAUACAUCAGUAAUUUGUGCCACCUCGCCAAAAUAUUCAUUCAUCAUCAACCAAAUAAGUGUCCUGCUUUUGCACAAGCUAGCAUCGAUUUUUUUUGUGAAUCAAUUAUAGAUGAAGAUGAUCAUCACUUCUUAACUGUGUGUACACCAUUCUUUACAAUACAUUAUAAAGAUUUCACAAUGCCAGCCUUGGGAGGCAAAAAGAUAUCGACAUAUAUAGAGGCAAAAUGACGUAUUUCCUUUGGUAUGGUUGCCACAUCAAUAUAGACUAAAGGAUGUGAAUUGUGUCCAGUCCAGAUUAAUUGGAUCUCUUAUAUUAGACUUUGAUGAGUUUUCACAAUGAAGAAUAGGAUGCCUGAAGAUGGAAUCCACCACGUGUUUGAGAUUGGGAGGCACCAGGAAAAGUAUUAUUCAGGCUUCUAUGAGCACCUGAGUCUUGUGGAAGCCUGAAUGGCAGCCGCACCAUGCAGAGCGCGGGGCAACAGUAGCUAGCAAGUUUGAUAACAAAAAAACUAGCCGGCAUCCCUGUGCAGUUGCACAGGUUAGGAUCCAUUACAAAAUACUAACGGGUGUGUACUGUUCAUUGGAUCCAUUACUGUUAAACAUUACUGUUAAACAUAACGGGUACGCCCGUUACUAUUUAGCAUAACGGGUGUACUGUUCACUGGAGGAUAACGGUUGCACUGUUCACUGGAUCCAAUCCGUUAGUGUUAUACUUAAUGGGUGUACUGUUCAUAGGAUCCGUUACUGUUAAUGUACAGUAAAUUGUGAGAGAGGCAGUGGUAUACAGGGUAAGGGGUAGAUACUAGCAAGGCAGUUGUUUAUUUAAUGCUAUCCGGAAUAGGAGAAGGGAGGGAUUCUCUCCGUUUGGAAAACACCGCGAGUAAGAGGCAGUGGUAUACAAUUAUAAGGGUAAGGGGUAGAUACUAGCAAGGCAGUUGUUUAUUUAAUGCUAUCCGAAAUAGGAGAAGGGAGGGAUUCCCUCCGUUUGGAAAACACCGCG
RNAcentral lists this long non-coding RNA (4747 nucleotides) under Sorghum bicolor (sorghum). Its description in RNAcentral is "long non-coding RNA (SBIC_LNC001974)". Lineage: Eukaryota; Viridiplantae; Streptophyta; Magnoliopsida; Poales; Poaceae. The record is from RNAcentral.